UCUAUCUACCUCUGUAGCUACAGUCCUUGGUAAAAGGUAUAUGGUAGCAGUAAUAAUUCAGCGGGUAAACCAUAGUUUAAAUUAUAUGCAAGAAGAAAAUGGAGGAAAAAUAACAGGAAGAAGUUGGUCAUUUGCGCUA
Octopus sinensis (East Asian common octopus) is the source of this 139-nucleotide long non-coding RNA. RefSeq lists it as uncharacterized. The transcript is spliced from 3 exons. The record is from RefSeq and is a predicted model, not a curated record. NCBI's taxonomy places the organism in Eukaryota, Metazoa, Mollusca, Cephalopoda, Octopoda, Octopodidae.